GCAGAGGAAGCCCCGGCUAACUCUGUGCCAGCAGCCGCGGUAAUACAGAGGGGGCAAGCGUUAUUCGGAAUUAUUGGGCGUAAAGGGCGCGUAGGCGGCUUGGCAAGUGGAAGGUGAAAUCCCUCGGCUCAACCGAGGAACUGCCUUCUAAACUGCUUUGAUUGAGUCCGGGAGAGGUCAGUGGAAUUCCCAGUGUAGCGGUGAAAUGCGUAGAUAUUGGGAGGAACACCAGUGGCGAAGGCGGCUGACUGGACCGGUACUGACGCUGAGGCGCGAAAGCGUGGGGAGCAAACGGGAUUAGAUACCCCGGUAGUCCACGCCGUAAACGAUGAAUGCUUGGUGUAGCGGGUAUCGACCCCUGCUGUGCCGAAGUCAACACAUUAAGCAUUCCGCCUGGGGAGUACGGUCGCAAGGCUGAAACUCAAA
Molecule: ribosomal RNA, 426 nt
Filed under: uncultured bacterium
Lineage: Bacteria
Description: bacterial SSU rRNA
Rfam family: Bacterial small subunit ribosomal RNA
Source: RNAcentral